Molecule: long non-coding RNA, 380 nt
Organism: Oncorhynchus masou masou (cherry salmon)
Lineage: Eukaryota; Metazoa; Chordata; Actinopteri; Salmoniformes; Salmonidae
Exons: 3
Source: RefSeq, a predicted model, not a curated record
GCUGAGCCAAAAUAGACCAUAUUACAUUUGUUUUAUUUUCCAAAGGUUGAUGUCGCACAAUCUGCAUCUGGCUCCAACACAUGCAUAUGAUAUUUUCCUUAUCCUUCAAGAAACCUUCUACGCUCCCGCUGGUAGGACACUUCUAACAUCAGCCGGAAUUGAGGAAGACACCACAAGACAAGAGACAAAAAAUACACAAUUUAUUACCAAGGGGUGUUGCUUAGGAUUGGCUUUGGAUAAUAUACGGAAGUUCUCUAUGGGGAAAAUAAAGUUAUUCUAUAAUUUACAGUUUGACAAUAUAAAACUUACUUGGAGUAUCUGUGUAGUAGACAAAGAUGUCACCAGUAUUUAUGAGGAGUUCCACAUUAAAACGUACAGUA